Molecule: unclassified non-coding RNA, 305 nt
Filed under: Hevea brasiliensis (rubber tree)
Lineage: Eukaryota; Viridiplantae; Streptophyta; Magnoliopsida; Malpighiales; Euphorbiaceae
Source: RNAcentral
AGAGUAUUUCAUCAGCUGUGGUUCCAACACUACUAUUUUUUCCGCUGGCCGGAACUUCACCGGGGACUCAAAUUCUGGAAAUUCUCUUUCCUUCGCCAUCGAAGGGAAGAGCAUCACUGUUAAAGAUAGCAGCAGGUCAACGAAAACACCACCCCUGUAUCAAACAGCUAGACUCUUCAAGCAAAAAUCAUUUUAUGAGUUCGAAAUCAUUAUCUCUGGUACUUAUCUGUCGUGCAGGAAGUAGUAAUAGUAAUUACGAGGGCAUACUCUCUAAGGCAUUGCAAACAAUUCACAGGAUCAAUGUU